Molecule: small nucleolar RNA, 243 nt
Organism: Carcharodon carcharias (great white shark)
Lineage: Eukaryota; Metazoa; Chordata; Chondrichthyes; Lamniformes; Lamnidae
Product: small nucleolar RNA SNORA53
Exons: 1
Source: RefSeq, a predicted model, not a curated record
UGGACUCUUUUAAAAAAUUUGUUCUUGGGAUGUGGGCAUUGUUGGCAAGGCCAACAUUUAUUGCCCAUCCCUAAUUUCCCUUGAGUGUAUGGCAGUUCAUCAACUUGAGUGGUUGUACAGUGAAAGGUGCAUGAGUUAUUGGCGUCUUAAAUUAAUAUACCUGCAUGGUGGUCCCUCUGAUGUGAAUGACCUGUCACUCCAGGCUGUUUUCAGCCAUCAGGACUUUGCUGCGGCAUGGAUAAG